Molecule: long non-coding RNA, 1669 nt
Organism: Helianthus annuus (common sunflower)
Lineage: Eukaryota; Viridiplantae; Streptophyta; Magnoliopsida; Asterales; Asteraceae
Exons: 4
Source: RefSeq, a predicted model, not a curated record
GGCAUUAAUGUAAUUGUGUACUGAACUAAUUUUGGGAACCUGGAGAAUUUGAAGAGGUUUUGUUGAAAAGUUGAAAGAUCUUCUCCUCAAACAUCGCAAUUCUUUGUUGUAGAUAUAAUCUCAUUAUAUCUCUCUAGAAAAAUAACAGACAUUUCAUCUAAACAUCCUUCUCUCAUAAUCGAUAGCGAAUUAGGGUGGUUCUUCCCUUAAUACUCACGACUCUGCAUUCCGAUUAGGUUUAGCAUCAAAAUCGACGGCAAAGGUAAGUUUGUUUCCAGUUAUUAAUUUCCGGUUGUGUAUGAUUCGAACUUGUUUAGUGAAUACGUAGCGGAAAAGUUAGGGUUACUUUAGUCCGAUGUGAAAAGUUAGGGUUUCUUUAAUCCGAUGUAUAAAAAUCAUUUUGGAGUUGUUUUUGUGUUGCUUAAUCGGAAGGAUGUUGUCGUUUUUGUGGUUUGAUUGUAGUGUAUUUAACUACUUCAGGAUUACAUAAGGACAAAUUGGUCUAUGUACAUUUGUGUAUAGCAGUUAUGUGUGGGUAUAAUUUCUUCGAUGUACACCUGUGUAUAGCUUUUAUGUGUGAGUAUAAAUUUCCCGACUGUACUCUGUUUUUUUGGCAUUAUUUGUUACAUCCUGAUGUUAUGCUUUUGGAUUGUGUUUGAUGAUUGACGUUGUCUGGAAGUACACAUGUGUAUAUCCUCUGGUUUUAGUAUAGAGUUCAGUUGUGUACUUGUGUACUGAUAGUUUAUUUGUGUUUGUUUUUUGGAUACCCAUGAAACGUGUAUGUUCCGUUUAUAUUACUCUUUUAGUAUACAGUAGGUACAUAAUCUUAAAAUUAUUGUACAGUUGUGUAUUAUGCUUCGAAAGAUGAUUUGUGUAAAACUUAUACGUGCCUAUUAAAAUUCAUUUGAUUACAUGAAUAUAAGAUUAACACCUUCAUUUAAGUUUUGUACUUGAGCAAUCCCAUCUUGUGUAUAUUUUGUAGGUACAAAAAAAGGGAUACAAUGAGGAAAAGGGGAAAAGUGAGAGGAUAGCCUGUAUAAAGGCUCGUAGCCUUAGAAAUACAAAAGAAGACCCGAUUGAGUGUUCUGACGACGAUGUAACGGAAAACAUAGUAAAUAAGAUGUCAACAGUAAAAAGGGACCAUAAGGAACCGUUACGUGAUGGAAAGGAUGGGUCGAAGCUGCAUGUAGAUAGUGUCCCAGUACAAAAGCUUGAUAAUGGGGAUCAGAGAAAUAAAGGGACUUUGUGUUCGAAAUCGAAUCUGGUGUUGGACUGUAUCAUUUCCUAAUGAAGAUUUACAACCAAGUCAGUGGAUUGAAUUGAUGCUUCCUUAAUUUCUUUGCGCCAAUGCAACAGUUGAUAAAUGGAAUAUUGGCUUCCCACUUGAGUCGGGCCCAAAGAAAGCAGCAUUGACACGUUUAAGGAAGAAAUACGCUGUGAAGCUGGUUACUUCAGGCGUUAACAAGCAUCGUGACCGCAUAUUGGAUGAAGCCAAACAAUACGGGAAAGCGUGCAAAUUGGGUUAAUUAGUAUGUUUUAUGGUUGUAGAGAAUAAUAUACGUUUUAUGGUCGAUUGUUUUGCUAAUUUUUUGGUCUGUCAUGGAAUGUGUGUUUGCUUGGUUAUGGUUGUAGACAAUAGCAUACGUUUUAUGGUCGAUUGUUUUGUUAA